AGACGAGAGAGAAACAAAUUGGAUAAGUGAGGAAGGUGAAGUAGAGUUAGGCAAGGGUUUCUGAUUUUUUUUUUUCAAUUGGGGGCAAUAGUAGGGAUGACAGAGAAAAUGUUGGAGUGAGAGAGAUGAAAGAGAAAUGGUUGAGAGGAAUGAGGGAGUGAGUAAGGGUUUGGAGGUUUUUUUUUUUUUUUUGAGAAUGAAAAUUAUUUAAAUAUCUUUGACCUUAAAACUUAGAAUCCAUGAAUAUGAGGGUACUUUUGUCUGCUAUAAUCUGGUACGCGACAAACCCCGUAUAUAUAUAUAUAUAUGAGAAGUUUAAAAGUAUGAAAAUCAUUAUAUAUUCGUUUAUUUAUAAAAAAAUAUAAAAUAUUUACGACUUUAUGAUUAUACAUUGUAUUCUACUUAUGCUAUUAUCACGUAAGAGAAAAUUAAUACAUGAAACACGCCUUAACACAUGAAUGAUUCACCCAUCAAGGCGAGGC
Molecule: long non-coding RNA, 482 nt
Filed under: Vigna radiata
Lineage: Eukaryota; Viridiplantae; Streptophyta; Magnoliopsida; Fabales; Fabaceae
Description: long non-coding RNA (VRAD_LNC007265)
Source: RNAcentral